RNAcentral lists this ribosomal RNA (446 nucleotides) under uncultured bacterium. RNAcentral's name for it is "partial 16S ribosomal RNA". It matches the Rfam family "Bacterial small subunit ribosomal RNA", at positions 338 to 795 of the family's 1533-position model. The record is from RNAcentral.
CCUACGGGAGGCAGCAGUCGAGAAUCAUUCACAAUGGGGGAAACCCUGAUGGUGCGACGCCGCGUGGGGGAAUGAAGGUCUUCGGAUUGUAAACCCCUGUCAUGUGGGAGCAAAUUAAAAAGAUAGUACCACAAGAGGAAGAGACGGCUAACUCUGUGCCAGCAGCCGCGGUAAUACAGAGGUCUCAAGCGUUGUUCGGAAUCACUGGGCGUAAAGCGUGCGUAGGCUGUUUCGUAAGUCGGGUGUGAAAGGCGCGGGCUCAACCCGCGGAAGGCACAUGAUACUGCGAGGCUAGAGGAAUGGAGGGGGAACCGGAAGUCUCGGUGUAGCCGGGAAAUGCGUAGAUAUCGGGAGGAACACUCGUGGCGAAGGCGGGUUCCUGGACAUUAACUGACACUGAGGCACGAAGGCCAGGGGAGCGAAAGGGAUUAGAUACCCCGGUAGUC